This 471-nucleotide ribosomal RNA is filed under the name Eupelmus atropurpureus. RNAcentral describes it as "eukaryotic LSU rRNA". Lineage: Eukaryota; Metazoa; Arthropoda; Insecta; Hymenoptera; Eupelmidae. The record is from RNAcentral.
AAAAGAACUUUGAAGAGAGAGUUCAAGAGUACGUGAAACCGUUCAGGGGUAAACCUGAGAAACCCAAAAGAUCGAAUGGGGAGAUUCAUCGUCAGCGGCUCUGGCUUCCGUGCGGCUCGCGAUGGCCGGGACCUCGGUCUCGCGUCACGCGUCCGCUGCGGCAUGUCCGGUUUCGUCGGCGUGCACUUCUCCCCUAGUAGGACGUCGCGACCCGUUGGGUGUCGGCCUACGGCCCGGUUGGUCGACUGUCGCGUCGCGUUCACCCGCGCACGCGGCAGACCACCGGUCGCCCGGCCGACUGCCCGGCGGUAUAGAUCGCUAUUAAACACGGUAUUGGGCCGCAUCAAGUGCGUUCUGGCUCGCCGGCAGGCUCGUCUCGCUCGGAUUUACGGACCUAGCGCCGUUGCCGGGCGCUUGGCGUGGCCGUUAGUCGACGAUGUCCUCGGACUGGCUCUUACAUUCGAACGAAUA